CUGCUCUAAAGCAUCAGUUUUCCCCAGCUGCAAAUCUAACAGCAAUUGAUUUCCCUGACCUCAAGGACUAUCCUGUGGCUGUGAUAGCGACCUCUGCCUGGCCCAUCGAUGAGCCCUCCUGGUGUAGCAGGAACUUUCUGAAGAAACGAAAAAAAGCAUUUGAGUGAGAUGCCUGGUGUGUGUCCCUAGGACAGGGGACAGCACCUUUGCAGAGUUCCCAUUUUCACCUUCACCUUUGUUCUGCACUGGAAAGUCUCUCAUCCAAAUCCCUGGCACAGACCCAAAAUCUACCUUUGAAGGGAACCACUUCACAAACUACAACACACAAAAAGUGCUGUCAAACCAAAUUGAUUUCCAGUCAUGUUAACCUGGGCAGGAUCAGCAAACCUACUCCCCCAGGUGAAAAGCCAGAACGGCAAGGAAACCGCUCGAGCUGGC
This is a long non-coding RNA of Struthio camelus australis, 438 nucleotides long. The record is from Ensembl. Lineage: Eukaryota; Metazoa; Chordata; Aves; Struthioniformes; Struthionidae.